UACGCAGGGAUAUGUGUGUAUCGGCUGACACUUAGUAAUGCACUUUGACCGAAAGAGUUCUCUGCUAAACUGUGAAAGAGUUCUCUGCUAAACUGUGUAUUGGAAAAGAUGAGCAAUUGUGUUUUAUUCUUGUUGAAAUCUUUCAACAAUCAUCUUCCUUACAUUU
This 166-nucleotide small nucleolar RNA is filed under the name Ipomoea nil (Japanese morning glory). Its description in RNAcentral is "small nucleolar RNA snoR135". It matches the Rfam family "small nucleolar RNA snoR135". Lineage: Eukaryota; Viridiplantae; Streptophyta; Magnoliopsida; Solanales; Convolvulaceae. The record is from Rfam by way of RNAcentral.